Molecule: ribosomal RNA, 490 nt
Filed under: uncultured bacterium
Lineage: Bacteria
Description: partial 16S ribosomal RNA
Rfam family: Bacterial small subunit ribosomal RNA
Source: RNAcentral
UGAACGCUGGCGGUAGGCCUAACACAUGCAAGUCGAACGGCAGCACAGUAAGAGCUUGCUCUUACGGGUGGCGAGUGGCGGACGGGUGAGGAAUACAUCGGAAUCUACUUUUUCGUGGGGGAUAACGUAGGGAAACUUACGCUAAUACCGCAUACGACCUACGGGUGAAAGCAGGUGAUCUUCGUACCUUGCGCGAUUGAAUGAGCCGAUGUCGGAUUAGCUAGUUGGCGGGGUAAAGGCCCACCAAGGCGACGAUCCGUAGCUGGUCUGAGAGGAUGAUAAGCCACACUGGAACUGAGACACGGUCAAGACUCCUACGAGAGGCAGCAGUGGGGAAUAUUGGACAAUGGGCGCAAGCCUGAUCCAGCCAUACCGCGUGGGUGAAGAAGGCCUUCGGGUUGUAAAGCCCUUUUGUUGGGAAAGAAAAGCAGCAGGUUAAUACCCAGCUGUUCUGACGGUACCCAAAGAAUAAGCACCGGCUAACUUCGUG